GGGGAUUAUAAUAGUUAACUGUAAUUCACGAAUCACAUUCUAAAUUGGCGCAUCAAUGAAGCCUACCCUUUGUGUACCCUAUAUCUAACCAAGUAGCGUACUGCGUACCUUAUGCCCAUACCUGUGCCACUAUCCAAGACAUACUGUAUUCCAAAUAACUGAAUAAAACCAUCAAAUGAGUACAAUAAAAAAGACAUUCCUUAUGCGCCUAAGAUGUAUGCCUAGGCACUCAUAAAAGGCACCUAAGUGAAUGCCUAGGCACAAAGCAUUGGGAAUGGUGCAUGGCCUAAGCCACUUCAGGCACUUGGCCUAAUGUCCGCAUGCAUCUGCAGCAUAGGCACACUUUUGAUGUUUAUGACCUUUGAGCUGCAUCAUUUACAAAGAUUGCAAGAACAAAACUGGAAAUAAUCUUUUAAAUAAAAGCUUAUGGUGUGCAUGCAGCAUACAUUUAAAGACAACAAAUCUUAUACGUAAUAAAGGAUCUUACCAUUACUUCCCUUCUAAAGGAUAAAAAUGGUUACAGAAACUGAAAAGACUAGCUUGAGAGGUUUCUAAUAACAUCCUCGUGUUCUGCUAUGAGGACAACCUAAUUAUCAAAUACUUCACUGUCCAUUAGUAGCAAAUGCAAAAACAAAAUAAAAAAAUAGUUUGAAAUGAAACUCUCUGAUGACUAGAACAUACAAUAGGUUGAAAUGAAUCUCACUAAUGAGUAGAAUAUAUAAUCGAACACCUUAAACCCUGAUGCAUCAUAGCUUAGGAAAAAUUCACACUCACACAGAAACAUAGAGUUUUAGUUUUAAGAGAAAAUAAUAUGGAAAAAUCUGAACUGAAAUACAUGAAAAUAAGGGGUAUUUAUUCAGUUUUUUAUGCUCCUAAACUAACUAGGAAUAUAUACCUACUAUUUGUGAAUUUUAGCUAAACUAAAAUACAAUAGGAAAAUAUAGAUAAAAUAGGAAUUAAUCUAACCCUAGAUAGAAUAGGAAAACAAAUCAAGUCCCAUUAAGAACAGGAAAGUAUCUUAAACUAAUUCUGCAGUCAAAUUAUGGCAAAACAAGAAGUCCUGCAUGACUUAAGACUGCUGGAGACGAAAUUAACCCAGGAAAAAAAAAAAUGCAUCCUCACACUGCUGGACCGA
RNAcentral lists this unclassified non-coding RNA (1135 nucleotides) under Hevea brasiliensis (rubber tree). Lineage: Eukaryota; Viridiplantae; Streptophyta; Magnoliopsida; Malpighiales; Euphorbiaceae. The record is from RNAcentral.